CCACUGGAAGAGCAAUUGACAUUCUAAAUG
This 30-nucleotide non-coding RNA is filed under the name Cricetulus griseus (Chinese hamster). Lineage: Eukaryota; Metazoa; Chordata; Mammalia; Rodentia; Cricetidae. The record is from RNAcentral.